Molecule: ribosomal RNA, 207 nt
Filed under: uncultured bacterium
Lineage: Bacteria
Description: partial 16S ribosomal RNA
Rfam family: Bacterial small subunit ribosomal RNA
Source: RNAcentral
CGCGUAGGCGGUGUACACAGUCAGGCGUGAAAUUCCCGGGCUCAACCUGGGGGCUGCGCUUGAUACAUGUAUGCUUGAGUUCGGAAGAGGGUCGUGGAAUUCCCAGUGUAGAGGUGAAAUUCGUAGAUAUUGGGAAGAACACCGGUGGCGAAGGCGGCGACCUGGUCCGAUACUGACGCUGAGGCGCGAAAGCGUGGGGAGCAAACA